AGGAUGAACGCUGGCGGCGUGCCUAAUACAUGCAAGUCGAGCGGCAGCGCGGUCUUCGGACUGGCGGCGAGCGGCGGACGGCUGAGUAACACGUAGGAACGUACCCCAAAGUGAGGGAUAAGCACCAGAAAUGGUGUCUAAUACCGCAUAUGAUCUUAGGAUCAAAGCUUCGGCGCUUUGGGAACGGCCUGCGUCCGAUUAGCUAGUUGGUGAGGUAAUGGCUCACCAAGGCGACGAUCGGUAGCUGGUCUGAGAGGAUGAUCAGCCAGACUGGGACUGAGAACGGCCCAGACUCCUACGGGAGGCAGCAGUAGGGAAUUUUCCACAAUGGGCGAAAGCCUGAUGGAGCAACGCCGCGUGCAGGAUGAAGGCUCUAGGGUCGUAAACUGCUUUUAUCUGUGAAGAAUAUGACGGUAACAGAUGAAUAAGGAUCGGCUAACUCCGCGCCAGCAGCCGCGGU
RNAcentral lists this ribosomal RNA (460 nucleotides) under uncultured bacterium. RNAcentral's name for it is "SSU rRNA". It matches the Rfam family "Bacterial small subunit ribosomal RNA", at positions 26 to 521 of the family's 1533-position model. The record is from RNAcentral.